CACGUAGGCACCAAGCGUUGUCCGGAUUUAUUGGGCGUAAAGAGCUCGUAGGCGGUUCAGUAAGUCGGGUGUGAAAACUCUGGGCUUAACCCAGAGACGCCACCCGAUACUGCUGUGACUUGAGUACGGUAGGGGAGCAGGGAAUUCCUGGUGUAGCGGUGAAAUGCGCAGAUAUCAGGAAGAACACCCGUGGCGAAGGCGGCUCUCUGGUACGUGACUGACGCUGAGGCACGAAGGCCAGGGGAGCAAACGGG
Molecule: ribosomal RNA, 254 nt
Filed under: uncultured bacterium
Lineage: Bacteria
Description: partial 16S ribosomal RNA
Rfam family: Bacterial small subunit ribosomal RNA
Source: RNAcentral